Molecule: ribosomal RNA, 119 nt
Filed under: Brassica carinata (Ethiopian mustard)
Lineage: Eukaryota; Viridiplantae; Streptophyta; Magnoliopsida; Brassicales; Brassicaceae
Also listed under: 1 other name
Source: RNAcentral
GGGUGCGAUCAUACCAGCACUAAUGCACCGGAUCCCAUCAGAACUCCGCAGGUAAGCGUGCUUGGGAGAGAGUUGUACUAGGAUGGGUGACCUCUCAGGAAGUCCUCGUGUUGCACCCC